This 536-nucleotide long non-coding RNA is filed under the name Nicotiana benthamiana. Its description in RNAcentral is "long non-coding RNA (NBEN_LNC041782)". The record is from RNAcentral. Lineage: Eukaryota; Viridiplantae; Streptophyta; Magnoliopsida; Solanales; Solanaceae.
GGAGAAUGAGAUUUGGUCCUAUUGCACUGCUUGAAGUGUUCUCGUAGCAUCUCCAGUUUUAGUUUGUCGUCCACUGCAGCUACUGAUAACAAUGGUGGCUAUAAUUACUAUUAUAGUGAUGAGAAUGCAGCAGAUUCUGCUACAGGGGAGAAUGAGAUUUGGUCCUAUUGCACUGCUUGAAGUGUUCUCGUAGCAUCUCCAGUUUUAGUUUGUCGUCGAGGUUGUCUGUUUUUGAAUAAUACCCUUAGUUGGUAAUGCUUUUCUAAUAUCAAUUUUCUUUGUUUAGUUUCUUGUUUUCGUUGUUGAAUUAAAAGAUGCAAUAGAAAGGAGGGAUUUUUCCCUGUGAUCUGUUGCAACUUUCUGUUAUUGUAUUUUAAAGAGGAAGAGUGGCGACAUGACCGAAUCAAUUUGAUGUAUGAUUCGGCCUCUUCCUGUGUAAUCUCCUGCUCUUUUUACUGCAGUUUGUUUUAGCAUGAGUGUUUGUUAUUCUCUUUCUUUAAAACAAAAGUACCCAAAUUGAAACUAAAGUUGAAAAA